UUGGUUUUCCCUCAACUUGCUGCAACCAAGAGACUUGGCAGUUCAUGUACCAAUUGGCCUGUGUCUCUUACCAAGACGUGAAAAGGGCCUGGAUAACUGACUUAAGAACAACAAAUUCCAGCAAGCAAAACGAUUAUCUCAGUGAAUCCUGUGGACCGAGGCCAUUGAAUGGCUUUCCAGGACUCAAGUUCUCAAGAAUAAUUUAUGAACCCUCAUAACAGAAGCAAGACCAUUUAACGAUUUACUUUUUCAAUUGUGCUUAACUGAAUGUACCCAAGAGGAGACAACAUGAUUUCCAGCAACUUCUAUUCAACCAUUUCUGCAGCAACAAUCUGUAUAAUCACACCCUGGAGACAGGCUUGAGACAGCCCUGCAUCCGGAC
Long non-coding RNA from Stegostoma tigrinum, 382 nucleotides. RefSeq lists it as uncharacterized. The transcript is spliced from 3 exons. The record is from RefSeq and is a predicted model, not a curated record. NCBI's taxonomy places the organism in Eukaryota, Metazoa, Chordata, Chondrichthyes, Orectolobiformes, Stegostomatidae.